AACGUGAAGCGAAAGAAGAAAGGGAUUCAGCCUUCGUGGAACCACAAGAGCGCCUGCACAGCGAGGUCAAUCAGCACUCCAACUGCAGCUGCCAUUCUAUGCGUGUGCGAAGAUGUUUCGGCGAUGCCUGCUUACACGGCUCGUGCGUCGCUCGCUGGUCCUCUUUUCGGAUGAAAAAGAAGCACUUUUCGAGCGGUAUAGCGAGAUUGAAAACGCCCACUCGCGACGCAUUGAAGCACUGAAGGACGCGGGUCUCUUCAAUGAUGAGUGGAUUGCCACGGAGAAGGUGCAUGGCGCCAACUUCGGCAUCUACUCAACAGAGCAUGGGAAGACUAUUCAGUACGCGAAGCGGAGCGGCAUCAUGCCACCGUACGAGCACUUUUUCGGCUACCACAUCCUCAUACCUGAUCUCGUGAGGUAUGCCAAGCAAGGGCGAGAACUGCUUACGGAACAGCUCGGCAUGUCGCCCAGCACCGUAAUCAUCAACGGUGAGCUCUUUGGUGGCAAGUACGACCAUCCGAGCGUGCCGAAGCGGCGGCAGAACGUGAUGGUGGCCGGCAGGCCACGCACCAUCACGGCUGUGCAGAACAAUGCCUUUCCUCAGUACUGCCCAGACCUGCAUUUCUACGCCUUUGACAUCAAGUACCGGAGGACCGAAGAGGAGGAGUACUGCACCAUGACAUACGACCAAGCCUUGGCCAUCUUCGAGAAAAUUUCGGGCCUUCUCUACGCGAAGGCUAUCAUUCGAGGGCCGCUGAGCAAGGUGGCCGCGUUCGACGUGGAAAACUUCGUCACGACAAUUCCGCCGCUGGUGGGCAUGGGCGACUACCCGCUCAAGGGGAACUGGGCGGAGGGCCUCGUUGUAAAACACUGCCGUCGCGGCGAGCCCGGCUUCGACGCAAAGGGCCUCACCAUCAUGAAGUUCAAGUGCACUGCCUUCCAGGAAAUCUCGACCGAUCGCCGCCAGGGACCGCGCGUAGACGCGCUGGAGGAGGUUCGGCGGCAGUCCAUAAAAGUCUCCGGCGUACAGCUGCCGGACAUGGAGAGCGUCAUUCGCGACCCCGAGGUGCGCCAAGCGACACAUCACCUGCUCGACCACGUGUGUGAGAAUCGCCUCCAGAGUGUCUUGUCCAAGAUCGGUACAGGCCCGUUCGAGACGCAGUCCAUGACCCCCACAGAGCUCUCCACGCUGCUAGCAAAGGAUGCGCUGAAGGACUUCUUGAAGGAGGCGGAUGCAAAGAUCGUCAACACGCCGCUACUCGUGCGCCGCGAGAUGGCCCGCUACGUUCUUUUUGAGGCGCGCAGGUACGUAGCCAGUAGAUGGAAGGACGUCGUUGGGCAGCAAAGGGAGGCAGACGGGGAGUCGUGACCGCCGCAGUCGCUCACUCACUGUCUCUCUCCCUCUUGCCCUUUCUGCGUUUGUGUGAAUGGAGCCCUUGCUUCACCCAUAUGCACAUCCCCAUCUUCCCUGGCGGCGCGUGUGCUAGGCGCUGAGCUGCCUUUGCGCCAUGCUGCUGAAGAAGGGCGUUGUGAGAGCGACCAGCGAAACCCGUGCUCUCAUGCCUCUGCAAGAACAACGCCACAG
This 1585-nucleotide unclassified non-coding RNA is filed under the name Leishmania donovani. RNAcentral's name for it is "gene:LdHU3.20.2070(CDS-product:mitochondrial_RNA_ ligase_2)". Lineage: Eukaryota; Euglenozoa; Kinetoplastea; Trypanosomatida; Trypanosomatidae. The record is from RNAcentral.